AGGGGUGUAGCUGAGGGGUAGAGUGCUUGUUUAGCAUGUAUGAGGCCCUGGGUUCAAUUCCCAGCAACACAG
Cricetulus griseus (Chinese hamster) is the source of this 72-nucleotide non-coding RNA. NCBI's taxonomy places the organism in Eukaryota, Metazoa, Chordata, Mammalia, Rodentia, Cricetidae. The record is from Rfam.